This 479-nucleotide ribosomal RNA is filed under the name uncultured bacterium. RNAcentral describes it as "partial 16S ribosomal RNA". It matches the Rfam family "Bacterial small subunit ribosomal RNA", at positions 30 to 507 of the family's 1533-position model. The record is from RNAcentral.
UGAACGCUGGCGGCGUGCUUAACACAUGCAAGUCGAACGACGCACUUUAUUUGAUUUCCUUCGGGACUGAUUAUUUUGUGACUGAGUGGCGGACGGGUGAGUAACGCGUGGGUAACCUGCCUUGUACAGGGGGAUAACAGUUGGAAACGGCUGCUAAUACCGCAUAAGCGCACAGCAUCGCAUGAUGCAGUGUGAAAAACUCCGGUGGUAUAAGAUGGACCCGCGUUGGAUUAGCUAGUUGGUGAGGUAACGGCCCACCAAGGCGACGAUCCAUAGCCGACCUGAGAGGGUGACCGGCCACAUUGGGACUGAGACACGGCCCAAACUCCUACGGGAGGCAGCAGUGGGGAAUAUUGCACAAUGGGCGAAAGCCUGAUGCAGCGACGCCGCGUGAGCGAAGAAGUAUUUCGGUAUGUAAAGCUCUAUCAGCAGGGAAGAUAAUGACGGUACCUGACUAAGAAGCACCGGCUAAAUACGUG